UAGGGAAUCUUCCGCAAUGGGCGAAAGCCUGACGGAGCAACGCCGCGUGAGUGAUGAAGGUCUUCGGAUCGUAAAACUCUGUUAUUAGGGAAGAACAAAUGUGUAAGUAACUAUGCACGUCUUGACGGUACCUAAUCAGAAAGCCACGGCUAACUACGUGCCAGCAGCCGCGGUAAUGCGUAGGUGGCAAGCGUUAUCCGGAAUUAUUGGGCGUAAAGCGCGCGUAGGCGGUUUUUUUAGUCUGAUGUGAAAGCCCACGGCUCAACCGUGGAGGGUCAUUGGAAACUGGAAAACUUGAGUGCAGAAGAGGAAAGUGGAAUUCCAUGUGUAGCGGUGAAAUGCGCAGAGAUAUGGAGGAACACCAGUGGCGAAGGCGACUUUCUGGUCUGUAACUGACGCUGAUGUGCGAAAGCGUGGGGAUCAAACAGG
RNAcentral lists this ribosomal RNA (429 nucleotides) under Actinomycetes bacterium. RNAcentral describes it as "Actinobacteria bacterium partial 16S ribosomal RNA". It matches the Rfam family "Bacterial small subunit ribosomal RNA", at positions 355 to 776 of the family's 1533-position model. The record is from RNAcentral. Lineage: Bacteria; Bacillati; Actinomycetota; Actinomycetes.